UCUAGUAUAAAUCUGGUUCUAGAUGAAACUGCGAAUGGCUCAUUAAAUCAGUUCUAGUUUAUUUGAUGGUAUCUCAACUACAUGGAUAACCGUGGUAACAUAGAGCUAAUACAUGCUUGAAAUCCUGACUGGUUGUUCUCGGACAGUCGGAAUGGGAUGUAUUUAUUAGAUCCAAAACCAAUGCGUCAUUUGUAUGGCUUCACGGCUGUGCAAGUGGCGGUUAUGUUGGUGAUUCAUGGUAACUUUUCGGAUCGCAUGGCCUUGUGCUGGCGACGCUUCAUACAAGUUUCUGCCCUAUCAACUGUCGAUGGUAGGGUAUUGGCCUACCAUGGUUGUAACGGGUGACGGAGAAUUAGGGUUCGAUUCCGGAGAGGGAGCCUGAGAAACGGCUACCACAUCUAUGGAUGGCAGCAGGCGCGCAAAUUACCCAAUCCCGACCUGGGGAGGUAGUGACAAUAAAUAACAAUGCGGUUCCAAAUUUGGUUCUGCAAUUGGAAUGAGAACAAUGUAAAUACCUUAACGAGGAGCAAUUGGAGGGCAAGUCUGGUGCCAGCAGCCGCGGUAAUUCCAGCUCCAAUAGCGUAUAUUAAAGUUGUUGCAGUUAAAAAGCUCGUAGUUGGAUUUCGGAACGAUCGGGUUGGUCUGCCCUGCGUGGUUUGUACUAGCCUCGGUGUGUAUGGUUGGUCCUUGUGGCUGGCCUGCUACCCGUGUUGCACGUGUGUGUAGCAUGUGAUCGUUCUUCUCCCUCGGAGACGAGGUCUGUCCUUCAUUGGAUGGGCUUUGGAUGCGAGGUGUUUACUUUGAAAAAAUUAGAGUGUUCAAAGCAGGCCUGAUCUCGCUUGAAUACAUUAGCAUGGAAUAAUGGAAUAGGACUCUGUGCCUAUUUUGUUGGUUUGAAGGCAUGGAGUAAUGAUUGAUAGGGACAGUUGGGGGCAUUCGUAUUUAAUUGUCAGAGGUGAAAUUCUUGGAUUUCUGAAAGACGAACAACUGCGAAAGCAUUUGCCAAGGAUGUUUUCAUUAAUCAAGAACGAAAGUUAGGGGUUCGAAGACGAUCAGAUACCGUCGUAGUCCUAACCAUAAACAAUGCCGACUAGGGAUCAGCGUACGUUCGUGUGAUUGGACGUCGUUGGCACCUUACGAGAAAUCAAGAGUGUUUGGGUUCUGGGGGGAGUAUGGUCACAAGGCUGAAACUUAAAGGAAUUGACGGAAGGGCACCACCAGGAGUGGAGCCUGCGGCUUAAUUUGACUCAACACGGGAAACCUCACCAGGUCCGGACAUAGUUAGGAUUGACAGAUUGAGAGCUCUUUCUUGAUUCUAUGGGUGGUGGUGCAUGGCCGUUCUUAGUUGGUGGAGUGAUUUGUCUGGUUAAUUCCGUUAACGAACGA
This 1386-nucleotide ribosomal RNA is filed under the name Bathyxiphus sp. CCZ 151. RNAcentral's name for it is "SSU rRNA". It matches the Rfam family "Eukaryotic small subunit ribosomal RNA", at positions 59 to 1338 of the family's 1831-position model. Lineage: Eukaryota; Metazoa; Porifera; Hexactinellida; Sceptrulophora; Euretidae. The record is from RNAcentral.